Molecule: ribosomal RNA, 1321 nt
Filed under: marine metagenome
Description: bacterial LSU rRNA
Rfam family: Bacterial large subunit ribosomal RNA
Source: RNAcentral
AACCCGGAUGAUCUAACCAUGGCCAGUGUGAAGCUUAGGUAACACUAAGUGGAGGUACCAACCGACUGUUGUUGAAAAAACAGCGGAUGAGUUGUGGUUAGGGGUGAAAUUCCAAUCGAAUCCGGAGCUAGCUGGAUCUCCCCGAAAUGCGUUGAGGCGCAGCGGUUAAUGUUUCUUCUUAGGGGUAAAGCUACUGUUUUGGUGCGGGCUGCGAGAGCGGUACCAAAUCAAGGCAAACUCUGAAUACUAAGACGUUUAGUUAACCAGUGAGACAUUGGGGGAUAAGCUUCAGUGUCAAGAGGGAAACAGCCCAGAUUACUAGCUAAGGCCCCUAAAUAAUUACUAAGUGGUAAAGGAGGUGGGAUUGCAGAGACAAUCAGGAGGUUUGCCCAGAAGCAGCAAUCCUUUAAAGAGUGCGUAAUAGCUCACUGUUCGAGUGAUCCUGCGCCGAAAAUGACUGGGACUAAGUAAUUUGCCGAAGCUGUAAGAUGUCAAAACAUCGGUAGGGGAGCGUUCUACAUUAGUUUGAAGCGUUAACGAAAGUGGGCGUGGACGAAGUAGAAGUGAGAAUGUUAGCUUGAGUAGCGAAAACAUUGGUGAGAAUCCAAUGCCCCGAAAACCUAAGGGUUCCUCCGGAAGGCUCGUCCGCGGAGGGUGAGUCAGGUCCUAAGGUAAGGCUGAAAAGCGUAGUCGAUGGAUAACAGGUUAAUAUUCCUGUACUGUUUAUUGUUGGUAAAGGGGGACGGAGAAGGCUAGGUUGACCGAAUUUUGGUUAUCGGCUUAAGUAUUCGAGGUGUUGAGGAUUGGCGAAAACAAUCUGAGCUGAGAUGCGAAUAGGAAAGUGCUAAGGUACUAAACCAACUGAUGUCAUGCUUCCAAGAAAAGCCCUAACUACCAUAAGCAAUAAAUACCUGUACCCUAAACCGACACAGGUGGGUAAGUAGAGUAUACUAAGGGGCGCGAGAUAACUCUCUCUAAGGAACUCGGCAAAAUGGCCUCGUAACUUCGGGAGAAGAGGUACCCUUAAUGGGUUGCAAGAACCAGACGCUGGCGACUGUUUACCAAAAACACAGGUCUCCGCAAAGUCGUAAGACGAUAUAUGGGGGCUGACACCUGCCCAGUGCCGGAAGGUUAAGGAAGCUUGUUAGUCUUUGACGAAGCUCGCGACCGAAGCCCCGGUGAACGGCGGCCGUAACUAUAACGGUCCUAAGGUAGCGAAAUUCCUUGUCGGGUAAGUUCCGACCCGCACGAAAGGUGUAACGAUCUGCGUACUGUCUCGGAGAGAGACUCGGCGAAAUAGACUUGUCUGUGAAGAUGCGGA